CGAUAAGAAAUCUGUACAAAAUUCGUAAUGCAAAGAUGGCGUACGCUUUAUGGAAUCAGACGUGAACACGCGAUCGUGUUGCGAGGAAGCCAGUGGAAAAAGAAGUUAAGACCCGGAGAGCGUGGCUUUUGACUUUGUCUGUUGGUAUGGGCUAUUGAGUGCGCGAGCCGCAGGUUUCGCGUUCAUAUAUUGCCGCUCCACACCCCUCCUCGAUACUUACGACAGCCCCACCACAAAGCCGUCUCCCGCUCGAUGCUUAAACCCAUCGACAAAUGACUAUUUGCCUAGCAUUUGGAUUUAAUCUACAUUGUCUCGGACACAGCGGUAAUAUCGCAUUGGUGACGGAAGCUUUAAAGAAAAUCUGUUAUCAAAAUUGAUUUGAGCAAAAAAUUAAAAACUGUUUCAUUAUACGAAAAGAUUAAAAAAAAGUUUAUGAUAAAACAAAAAAAAUGAUUUUCCACCAGCAUCUUCGUAAUUUUUCACGAAUAUGUACUGUAAUAGCUGUAGGUGUAUAUGUAGCUUUUAUACCUGUUGCUUUAAUGAUUUGUAGUAAUAGCAGUUUUCUUUAUUCUAUUUUACUUAGUCAAAUAUUUAGAAAUGUGUUGGAGGGGUAUUUACUGAAUUGUUCUACUGACUGAUAAUAACUCAUUACAUCUUAUAGUCUCUCAUGGAUGUGUAAUUAAGUGGCUAAAUUGGGACAGUAGGUUGGUGCUGCUUCUGCAAACAACCUAGCUCACUUGACUAGAGGAAAGAUGCGUACGUACAAGACUCACACGUGCGCCAAAGUGACGUGGGAUAAACACAAGCGUGGCAAGAUAUAUCCACGUUGCGUUGAAGUCAACAUACAGCCUUGCAGAACUUACGCUCUAAGCGAUUAGAUUGUAUACGUACUAUGAUGUUGAAUGUAUUUCAGAAUUAAAAAAACAUAAGCCAUUAUUCCGCCUAUAUAGAAACAUUUGAAAUAUCGUUAUUCGUUAUUUUCAAUCGUUUCAGAGUCGAGCAGAUCGCAGUGAGAAAAACAAUGUAAAAAAUACUACUACAUUUUUUACGAAAAUUCCCCUAGGGCUUGGGCUUCAUAGAAAUCCAAGAUGGCCAAGACGACGCAUCUGAUUGGCUGCAUGGAAAACCUAUCGGCCUCACUCAUUUUACCGGUUUCGCUGCCUUUCAGAACUACCCGUGUUCAUCCCUGCUGAAACGUAGGUUACAUUAUUUCUGAUUCGUAUUUUAGUACUAUUAGUACAUGGUGUGUUCUGAUAAGUUUAUAGGCAACCAUAAUAUUCAGAAUAGUGACCUGUUUAAAAGUAAAAAUUCUUCGAUAAAUAAAGUGCGAGAUCAUCUUCUCUUAUGCGUCAGCAUGUUUACUUUGGUUCUUGACAGGCAGAAUAAGAGCGAGACAGAUAAAAAAAAAGGAGCAAGAAAAGUUUAUACAUACUUCGAACAAUCCAUUUGCAGUUCCACAAACUGGUUUAACAGUCUGCAUACGAGACAACCCAGUCCAUCUUCGUAAGGUUAAGGUUAGAACGUUGUAAGUGCCAUUAAUUACGUAAAUCGACAAACAACGCAGCGACGUUACACUCUGCUGCACUGACAGUCGAUACUUAAAUAUGCUCAAAGCCUUAUCGAAGAAUAAAGCACAAGUUGAUAAAAUUAUAACCAGCACGUGUAGCUAUCUUAAGUGACAAGACAAAAAUACGUCGAGAAUUCGAGGUCUUUUUAAAAUUGGCAAACGCCAGAAGGUGUCUCGUGAAUCCUGAUGAUCAGUAACCAUAUACAUACAUAUUUACAUGCAUAUUAUCAACGAUAGUAAACAAACAAGAUGGCGCGAUUGCUUGCUAACUCAAUCAAUCUCGUUAAUCUAGAGUAACAGUGUCUCUUGCCAUUAACGUAAUGUUACUAUGUAAUAUUUCCAGUAGUAAACGUUACUUCGAAAAGUACUAUUUUCAUCUACAACUACCCAGAAGUAUGUUCCGGAUUAUCAACGCAGAAUAAUUUGCUUGCACGAGAUAGAAGAACAAAAUAACCAGCACCCCCCAUCACGUUCUGGAUGCACUGCGUUACAGCCAUCGUCUCCCUUGCAUGAAAAAAGAGAAAGAGAAACAAAUCAUCCAAGAUGGACGCUGUCACGUUUACGUGAAUACCAUCAAUCUAUACAUGAUGCACGCUAUAACAGUGUCCGUAAGACACGUCUCCACUACGACAAGGAAUCAAAGUCAAGAUAAUAGUUGUGGAACCAAAUUUUUUACUAGACACGAAAGCAUCGUGUUAGUGGUUCAAAUCGUUCACUGGAUGAGCAGCACAAGUUUUUGUUGAGGUUGUGCAAUUUUUGUUUCCUGUAUGUCUAAGAAUAGAGAAAAACGCCAUUGUAUCACGAGAUCAACAAGGUUCUUCGGAAGUUCACCAUAGUUAAUUGGCGUCUCAGUCUCUUAGCUGUAUUCGGGCGUCCGUGAAAGACGACAAACUCCCGCCAAAGGUGUAGAUACGAGUAGCGAUUCUCGACUGGACGUCGCAUCACUCUGUCCAGUCUGCCUAUUAUCCAAGACGGCCAGGGGGGUGGUUACAACCCUUGUCGACCCUGGUUCACCCCACUCGAGAUAUCUAUAUGACGUUGCGGUAUAGCGAUUCGUGAUAAGCAAGUCUAAGGGUGGCAGGUAGUGAGUUUCUAGGUGUGGUCCCUGGUUAUGAAAAUAAAGUAGAGUGGACAGGAUUCGUGUCCACGAGAACGUCCUCUGGGAGGAGGAUUGGCUGGAUCGUUCCGAAAUCUAGCGUGACCGGGAAAUCAACCUUCUCGAUGUACCGGAACCUUGACACUGUAGCAUGACAUUCUUCCUGUUAUGAUAGGUGCGUGCCUGCCCUACCUGCAACGGAAUGGAUAUUUUAUUAUAUUAUACCAGAAGAAAAAUCGAUUCAUACCUAUUUUAAAAUUCCACAUAAUAAUGGUCAUUAAAUAACAGAAUAAUUAUUUGUAAAAAUUUUCAAGCCUAUAAAUACUUUUUCAACACUUAUAAUAGCCCACCUUACUUCGUUCAAGUAAAACAAUAAAAAGAUUCAAAGCAUUGAAAGAUUUUAGGUCUUGAUUGAAUCACGGAUUUGGGUCAGAUUUCUCAUCUACAGCAACGCCGUCUGGUUAGCGGACACUGACUAAAUGCGCGCAGACAUGAAGAUGCACAUUUAAUACCAGGUCCAAAGUAAACCCUAAAGGAACACAAGAAUAAUAUCAACAAGGACAGUCCAGUACAUAGCUGAACAAUCCAGCAUUCAAAUUUUCUCUACUUAUAUCGAUUGGUAGCCGAUGACAAAGGGGCGCUUCACUAUUAGAGCAAUGGCGAAUUCGCGUGCAGAUAACGUAAGAGCAAUUAGCAUACGUGAGGUCGGCCAAUGCUUUUGUGAUAUCCACUCCGAUAUCGUAAGGUUACAAGAUUCACUGGACAAGAAUGCUGUCUACGAAGUGCAUAUGGUGCAAGGCUUUGGGUGAAUAAGAAAAACAGAUCGGCUUGUGAUGCACAAAGUUCUUUGAUAAUAUUCUCUCAUUAAACCAAAAGAUUAGGGCUGCUUUCAUGAAACGCGUCUGGCGUUCUUGAGUGGCAGCACUCUGUCAGAAUCGUUAAUCGGCAGCACUUUGAGAGGUGAUCUAACGCAGCAUCUACCAACCACUUGCCCCCUCGUUUCGGAAUCCAAUAAUUCGAAGUGAAGGAAAAACACUGUGAAUAAAAAUGCCAACGUAAAUUAGCCACGAUGCUGCACGAUGUAUACUAAACUCGAAGACGUAAUCGAUGAUAAUAGUCACAGUCACAACGGAGUAACGAUGACGAUUCAGGAUUCAGGAUCAACCGGUAAUUAUUAAUCCUCGAUACUACAUCACUGACUAAUCCUUAAUUCAACUUCAUAAAUUAUCAACGGCAGUUUAAUGUACUUUAAAUAACUGACAGUAAAUCAUCACGAAGAAUAGCGUCCUUGUUACGGAAUGCAAAUCGCAAAAUCUGUCACCAUGGAGUUUUACAGAAAUGCUACAGGAAGAGAAUACAGUACCGAAACACGGUCAUCACGUGGGCGUCCCACAGUCGUCGUGAUGUCUUGAGAAAUACCUCAGGAGCGUCGAUCAUUAUUUUCGUCAUUGUUAUAUUCAGAGAUUAACAUCACCCAACGCAAGUUUUUGGAUAAGAUAGGUAACCUAAUGAAAUACUACAACUGUAAGUGAAAUGUACGUUCUUAAAAGUAUACACGUAAUACGUGUCAUUUUUAUCGUACAUAUCUUUAACUAAGUAAAUGAGGAGGUAUAACUUAACGUUCAUGGUAUCAUAUCUCUUCUAGUAAGAUAAGGCCUAAUUAUUUUUGGUCACUUAGUUAUCAAGGAGAUAAUCGUACAAGCAAUCUGGAAAUAAAUUGACUCAUAGUAAUUUAGUAAUGGAUUAAUAAAUCAUCAAAUUAUAGAGAAAAAUA
Molecule: long non-coding RNA, 4437 nt
Organism: Cephus cinctus (wheat stem sawfly)
Lineage: Eukaryota; Metazoa; Arthropoda; Insecta; Hymenoptera; Cephidae
Exons: 7
Source: RefSeq, a predicted model, not a curated record